ACUCCUACGGGAGGCAGCAGUGGGGAAUAUUGCACAAUGGGGAAACCCUGAUGCAGCCAUGCCGCGUGUGUGAAGAAGGCCUUGGUUGUAAAGCACUUUCAGUAGGGAGGAAGGUAGUGUAGUUAACACCUGCACUAUUUGACGUUACCUACAGAAGAAGCACCGGCUAACUCCGUGCCAGCAGCCGCGGUAAUACGGAGGGGUGCGAGCGUUAAUCGGAAUUACUGGGCGUAAAGCGCAUGCAGGCGGCCUGUUAAGUCAGAUGUGAAAGCCCGGGGGCUUAACCUCGGAAUUGCAUUUGAAACUGGCAGGCUAGAGUCUUGUAGAGGGGGUAGGAAUUUCAGGUGUAGCGGUGAAAUGCGUAGAGAUCUGAAGGAAUACCAGUGGCGAAGGCGGCCCCCUGGACAAAGACUGACGCUCAGAUGCGAAAGCGUGGGGAGGCAAACAGGAUUAGAUACCCUGUAGCACAGAG
RNAcentral lists this ribosomal RNA (472 nucleotides) under uncultured bacterium. Its description in RNAcentral is "bacterial SSU rRNA". It matches the Rfam family "Bacterial small subunit ribosomal RNA", at positions 335 to 799 of the family's 1533-position model. The record is from RNAcentral.